UUCUUCCCUCACACCAGAAUUAUCCACAGCUGAAUUUUGGCUGGUUUGUUAGAACAAAUGCUCUUACUCCUUUGACACAGGAACCUUUCCCAGCAUGCUCCUCUUUCAGUUGCUGGCCCUCGAAAUUCUGAAUAAAACUACAGAACGCAUUUUAGAAGCUGCAGGCUGUAACUACGUCCCUUAAAUUCACUUGAACCCCAGCUCUAGCCUCAUCUGGAUCCAGAUUUGAACCCUGAAUUGGAUGGAAAUCUACUCUUCACUGCUAGUACUUCUCUGUAAUGUAUCAGACCAAAGCCCUGGAUCCAACAAUACUUUGAAUGUUGAGGAAGUUUGGAUCCAGAUCUUAAUGUCGUGGCUCUGCUUCUCAGAAAAGAGAUGCUAGCUGCCUCUUUCCUA
This is a long non-coding RNA of Mauremys mutica (yellowpond turtle), 396 nucleotides long. RefSeq lists it as uncharacterized. The transcript has 2 exons. The record is from RefSeq and is a predicted model, not a curated record. NCBI's taxonomy places the organism in Eukaryota, Metazoa, Chordata, Testudines, Geoemydidae.